CGGUCAGGUCACAUUGAAACACCCACUCCCGUACGAUCCCCGAAAUUAAGCAACGUCGAGCCUGGUCAGUAUCUAGAUGGAUGACUGUUUGCGAAUACCAGGUGCUGUAAG
Non-coding RNA from Acanthosepion pharaonis, 111 nucleotides. NCBI's taxonomy places the organism in Eukaryota, Metazoa, Mollusca, Cephalopoda, Sepiida, Sepiidae. The record is from the annotation of a GenBank genome assembly.